This 492-nucleotide ribosomal RNA is filed under the name uncultured bacterium. RNAcentral's name for it is "partial 16S ribosomal RNA". It matches the Rfam family "Bacterial small subunit ribosomal RNA", at positions 29 to 507 of the family's 1533-position model. The record is from RNAcentral.
AGUGAACGCUGGCGGUAGGCCUAACACAUGCAAGUCGAACGGCAGCACAGUAAGAGCUUGCUCUUACGGGUGGCGAGUGGCGGACGGGUGAGGAAUACAUCGGAAUCUACUUUUUCGUGGGGGAUAACGUAGGGAAACUUACGCUAAUACCGCAUACGACCUACGGGUGAAAGCAGGGGAUCUUCGGACCUUGCGCGAUUGAAUGAGCCGAUGUCGGAUUAGCUAGUUGGCGGGGUAAAGGCCCACCAAGGCGACGAUCCGUAGCUGGUCUGGGAGGAUGAUCAGCCACACUGGAACUGAGACACGGUCCAGACUCCUACGGGAGGCAGCAGUAGGGAAUAUUGGACAAUGGGCGCAAGCCUGAUCCAGCCAUACCGCGUGGGUGAAGAAGGCCUUCGGGUUGUAAAGCCCUUUUGUUGGGAAAGAAAAGCAGCAGGUUAAUACCCCGCUGUUCUGACGGUACCCAAAGAAUAAGCACCGGCUAACUUCGUG